This 1250-nucleotide ribosomal RNA is filed under the name Hypoxylon samuelsii. RNAcentral describes it as "eukaryotic LSU rRNA". It matches the Rfam family "Eukaryotic large subunit ribosomal RNA", at positions 79 to 1353 of the family's 3401-position model. Lineage: Eukaryota; Fungi; Ascomycota; Sordariomycetes; Xylariales; Hypoxylaceae. The record is from RNAcentral.
CCUAGUAACGGCGAGUGAAGCGGCAACAGCUCAAAUUUGAAAUCUGGCCCUCGCGGUCCGAGUUGUAAUUUGUAGAGGAUGCUUUUGGUGCGGUGCCUUCCGAGUUCCCUGGAACGGGACGCCGGAGAGGGUGAGAGCCCCGUACGGUUGGACACCUAUCCUCUAUAUAGCUCCUUCAACGAGUCGAGUAGUUUGGGAAUGCUGCUCUAAAUGGGAGGUAAAUUUCUUCUAAAGCUAAAUACCGGCCAGAGACCGAUAGCGCACAAGUAGAGUGAUCGAAAGAUGAAAAGCACUUUGAAAAGAGGGUUAAAUAGCACGUGAAAUUGUUGAAAGGGAAGCGUUUGCGACCAGACCUUCUCCAGGGGGAUCAUCCGGCGUUCUCGCCGGUGCACUUCGCCUGGUUUAGGCCAGCAUCGGUUUUCGUAGGGGGAAAAAGUCUUGGGGCACGUAGCUCUUCCGGGAGUGUUAUAGCCCCUCGUGUAAUACCCUUCCGUGGACCGAGGACCGCGCCUUCUCGGCAAGGAUGCUGGCGUAAUGGUCGUCAACGACCCGUCUUGAAACACGGACCAAGGAGUCGAACAUUUGUGCGAGUGUUUGGGUGUUAAACCCUCACGCGUAAUGAAAGUGAACGGAGGUGAGAGCCUUUCGGGGCGCAUCAUCGACCGAUCCUGAUGUCUUCGGAUGGAUUUGAGUAAGAGCAUAACUGUUCGGACCCGAAAGAUGGUGAACUAUGCGUGGAUAGGGUGAAGCCAGAGGAAACUCUGGUGGAGGCUCGCAGCGGUUCUGACGUGCAAAUCGAUCGUCAAAUCUGCGCAUGGGGGCGAAAGACUUAUCGAACCAUCUAGUAGCUGGUUACCGCCGAAGUUUCCCUCAGGAUAGCAGUGUUGUUUUCAGUUUUAUGAGGUAAAGCGAAUGAUUAGGGACUCGGGGGCGCUUUUUUGCCUUCAUCCAUUCUCAAACUUUAAAUAUGUAAGAAGCCCUUGUUACUUAGCUGAACGUGGGCAUUCGAAUGUAUCAACACUAGUGGGCCAUUUUUGGUAAGCAGAACUGGCGAUGCGGGAUGAACCGAACGCGGGGUUAAGGUGCCAGAGUGGACGCUCAUCAGACACCACAAAAGGUGUUAGUACAUCCAGACAGCAGGACGGUGGCCAUGGAAGUCGGAAUCCGCUAAGGACUGUGUAACAACUCACCUGCCGAAUGUACUAGCCCUGAAAAUGGAUGGCGCUCAAGCGUCUCACCCAUACCUCGCC